This 253-nucleotide ribosomal RNA is filed under the name uncultured bacterium. RNAcentral's name for it is "partial 16S ribosomal RNA". It matches the Rfam family "Bacterial small subunit ribosomal RNA", at positions 524 to 776 of the family's 1533-position model. The record is from RNAcentral.
UACGUAGGGUGCGAGCGUUGUUCGGAAUCAUUGGGCGUAAAGCGCGUGUAGGCGGUUAGGUAAGUCUCGUGUGAAAUCCCUGGGCUCAACCGAGGAAGUGCACGGGAAACUGCCUAGCUGGAAGAUGCUAGAGGAAGGUGGAAUUCCUAGUGUAGAGGUGAAAUUCGUAGAUAUUAGGAGGAAUACCGGUGGCGAAGGCGGCCUUCUGGAGCAUUCUUGACGCUGAGACGCGAAAGCGUGGGUAGCAAACAGG